This 200-nucleotide long non-coding RNA is filed under the name Elaeis guineensis (African oil palm). RNAcentral describes it as "long non-coding RNA (EGUI_LNC001549)". Lineage: Eukaryota; Viridiplantae; Streptophyta; Magnoliopsida; Arecales; Arecaceae. The record is from RNAcentral.
CACGUAUACAACAUAUCGUAGAUUUUAGCAAGAUCCCUAAACAUUUUGUUUUUAUGCGAAGCCAACCGUUUCCUCUUUGCCCUCCUAUCCUAUGGUCUUUCUUAGGAGUGGCAAUGGAUCAGGUAUGGAUCGAAUCGAUCGAUGUCCGUAUCUAUUUUGUCAAUAAAAAAUUCAUAUCCAUACCUAUUUCAUAUCCAUCU